This 132-nucleotide small nucleolar RNA is filed under the name Mus pahari (shrew mouse). RNAcentral describes it as "snoRNA (MGP_PahariEiJ_G0034155.1)". It matches the Rfam family "U8 small nucleolar RNA". From Rfam's summary of the family: U8 is a member of the C/D class of snoRNA which contain the C (UGAUGA) and D (CUGA) box motifs. U8 is the RNA component of a small complex (the U8 snoRNP) which is required for accumulation of mature large subunit ribosomal RNAs, 5.8S and 28S rRNAs. The record is from RNAcentral. Lineage: Eukaryota; Metazoa; Chordata; Mammalia; Rodentia; Muridae.
UCCUCAGCUAGGUGAAUCCUCACCCAUCCCUCCUUACAGAAUGCAGAUAAAAAAAUGAUUGGAGUUCACAUGGCAUGUGAUCAGCAUCUCUGUGUAGCCAGGACUCACAGCAUCUUCCUUGUUCUUUCUGUG